GGUGGUGGUGGUGGUUUGGUGUUGAUGGUGUGGUGUUGGUGAUAUGCUGUUGGAAAGGGGGGGGUGUUGGUGGUGGUGGUAAUGAUGGUUGUGGCGAUGAUUUGGUGAUUACGAUGAUGGUGGUGAUGAGAACAUCAGCAGGAGCAACUUGAAACAAACAAGAGAACAAGAUUACAUGGAAGAAAUCAAAACAAACAAAAUGGCUGCCAGCGAUUAACGGUAGAGAUAAUAUGGGAGGAAUUAUAUAUGAACUGCUGAUAACAAGAAAAAAAAAAAAUGGUUUGGAGAAAUAGCAAAGAGACUAAAGAAAUCCUGAAAUAAUGGAAAAUAUCUCACAAUUCCAUUUAACCAAUAAUUUCACACAGUUCCAGUUUUUGUAUUGUUUUUUUUUUUUUGGAUUAAAAUUUUUUUAUGAUUACGUUA
Molecule: long non-coding RNA, 423 nt
Organism: Octopus bimaculoides (California two-spot octopus)
Lineage: Eukaryota; Metazoa; Mollusca; Cephalopoda; Octopoda; Octopodidae
Source: RefSeq, a predicted model, not a curated record